AAAUAAAAAUGUAAGCUACAUUUAUUAUAAAGAAGUUAUAUAAAGUGUAAUUUGCCAAAAAAAAAAAUAUUACACAUAAUUGCCAUAUUUUUCUUUAAGUGUUAAUUUAUGUUGUAUUUUUGACGUAUUUAACAAAAAUCAAAAUUUUUCAAAUCAGUCCCCUAUUUUAUCCCUAUUUGUGUAAUUUGGACAAAUAGAAAGCCUUUGUUUUAGGCCCAACAUUGCAGGCACAACAAAAGAUUUCAACCUUUGAUUUUAGCUAUGAUGUACUAUUUGAUAAUGAGGAUAUUUCUACUAGUUCUAAUAUUAAUCCAAAUGUACUAUUUAAUAACAAGGACAUUUGGAUUCCUGCUUCUUUUCAUCUUCCAAAUCUAAAAAUCUUCCGUUCUGGUCUUUUCUAUCCUCAAAAAGCUUCUCUUUAGUAGCCACUACUAGAGGAUUUAAACUUUAAAGGGAACUAUAACAAGUGAUUUUAUAUUCAAUCUUUCAUGUCAGCUUUUGAAAAGAUUGAAGAUAGUGUUAUGGCCAUUGGAUUGACACAUCAAGAAAUGGAAGGUUCUUGCAAUAACAGAAGUAAAAACAGUUGUGAUAUUAAGCUAGAC
RNAcentral lists this long non-coding RNA (602 nucleotides) under Olea europaea subsp. europaea. The record is from RNAcentral. Lineage: Eukaryota; Viridiplantae; Streptophyta; Magnoliopsida; Lamiales; Oleaceae.